This 2429-nucleotide long non-coding RNA is filed under the name Homo sapiens (human). Its description in RNAcentral is "HSALNT0406283". The record is from RNAcentral. Lineage: Eukaryota; Metazoa; Chordata; Mammalia; Primates; Hominidae.
AGAGACAGGGUCUCACCAUGUUGCCCCACCUGGUCUUGAACUCCUGGGCUCAAGCAGUCUUCCUGCCUCAGCCUGCUAAAGUGCUAGGAUUACAGGCGUGAGCCACCAUGUCCGGCCAAAAACCACAUUUUAAAAGAUUUUGUGCUUACAAUUCUGAAUGAAAUGAGAGAAAACAGGUUGCAAAAAUGCAUCUGUUGAAUGAAACUCGAAAAGCAUGCUGAACAAAAGCAGCCAGGAAGAAAAGGGUGAAUCAUUAUGUAUGAUUCCAUUCAUGCAUACAGUUCUAGAACAGGCAAAAUCCAUCCACACUCAAAGACAUCAGAUCACUGGUUGCCUGGGUUGGAGGGAUUGCGGCAAUUGACUGGGAAGGGCAGGUGGAAGUUUUGGGAGCGCUGAAAAUGUUUUCUAUCUUGGCUGUGGUGGACAUUAUACAGGAGUAUAUGCAUUUGUCAAAAGCCACUGAGUGGGGCUGCCAGCGUGGAAGACACAGCACAGCCACUUCUCCGAAACUUAAACCUGGAAUUACUACAUGGCCCAGCAAUUCCACUUCUAGAUAUACCCAAAAGAGUUGGCAGCAGGGAUUCAAACCAAUAUUUGUACAGCAACGUUCAUAGCAGCAUUAUUUGCAAUAGUCAACAGGUGGAAACACCCAAAUGUCCAUCUGCAGAUAAAUGGAUAAACAAAAUGUGGCAUAGACAUACAAUGGAAUAUGACUCAGCCUUAAAAAGAGGUAAAAUCCUCCAGGCGGGGUGGCUCACGCCUGUAAUCCCAGCACUUUGGGAGGCCAAGGCAGGUGGAUCACGAGGUCAGGAGAUCAAGACCAUCCCGGCUAACACAGUGAAACCCCAACUUUACUAAAAAUACAACAACAAAAAAUUAGCCAGGCGUGGUGGUGGGUGCUUGUAGUCCUAGCUACUCGGGAGGCUGAGGCAGGAGAAUGGUGUGAACCCGGGAGGCAGAGCUUGCAGUGAGUCGAGAUUGCGCCACUGCACUCAAGCCUGGGCAACAGAGCGAGACUCUGUCUCAAAAAAAAAAAAAAGAGGUAAUAUCAGCCAGGUGGGGUGGCUCACACCUGUAAUCCCAGCCCUUUGGACUUUGGGAGGCCAAGACGGGUGGAUCACCUGAGGUCAGGAGUUUGAGACCAGCCUGGCCUACAUGGUGAAACCCCGUCUCUACUAAAAAUAUAAAAAUUAGCCGGGCAUGGUGGGGUGCGCCUGUAGUCCCAGCUACUAGGGAGGCUGAGGCAGGGGAAUCACUUGAACCUGGGAGGUGGAGGUUGCAGUGAGCAGAGAUCAUGACACUGCACUCCAGCCUGGACAACAGAACGAGAUUCCAUCUCAAAAAAAAAAAAAAAAGAGAUAAAAUCCUGAUACAUGCUACAUCAUGGAUGGGCCUUCAAAUCAUUAUGCUAUGUGAAAUAAGCCAGAUAUGAAAAGACCAAUAUCACAUGAUUCCACUUAUAUGAGUUUCCAAAUUCAUAGAGCCAAAAGACAGAAUAGUGAUUUACCAGGGGCAGAGGGAGGGGGAACGGGAAGUUACUGUUUAAUGGGUACAGAGUUUCAGUUUGGGAAGAUUAAAAUUCUGAAGAUGGAUGGUAGUGAUAGUUGCACAACGUGAAUGUACUUAAUACCACUGAACUGUACACUUAAAAUGGUUAAAAUGGUAAAUUGUAUGUUAUAUAUAUUUUACCAUGAUAAUUUUUUUUUCAGAAACAGGGUCUCUGUCACCCAGGCUGGAAUGCAAUGGUGCUGUCAUAGCUCAUUGCAGCCUCGAACUCCUAGGCUCUAGAGAUCCUCCCACUUCAGCCUCCUGUGAGACUACAGGCACACGCCACCAGGCUCAGCUAAUUUUAAAUUUUUUUGUAGAGAUGAGAGUCUUGUUAUGUUGCCCUGACUGGUCUAGAACUCCUGGCCUCAAGCAAUUUAUCCACCUCACCCUCUCAAAGCACUGGCGUUAUAGGCAUGAGCCACCAUGCCUGGCAAAAAAAAACAAACAAAGAAACAAAAAAUUGUUUUAAAUUCAUCAAACUAUGCACUUUUUUUUUUUUUUCGAGACAGUGUCUUGCUCUGUCACCCAGGCUGGAGUGCAAUGGCGCGAUCUUGGCUCACUGCAACCUCCGCCUCUCUGGUUCAAGCGAUUCUCCUGCCUCAGCCUCCCGAGUAGCUGGGAUUACGGGCAUGCACCACCACACCUGGCUAAUUUUUGUAUUUUUAGUAGAGACAGGGUUUCACCAUAUUAGUCAGGCUGGUCACAAACUCCUGACCUCAAGUAACCUGCCCGCCUCAGCCUCCCAAAGUACUAGGAUUAGAGGCGUGAGCCACCAUACCCAGCCUAAACUAUGAACUUACAUGGUACAUUUUACUCUCUGUAAAGUAUGCCUCAAUAAAUAUAAUUUAAAUAAAAUAAAUAAACAUAGAGGCCAGAAAAAU